UUGCUGCCCUGGUCUGUUGCGAGCAUGUCAAGGAGAUUUCUCACUUCCUCACAGGACGUGUGGGAUCAUCUCCCAGAUGAACUACCAGUUCCUAAGUAUUUGUCUGAAGCACUGGCUAGAACUUCCAUCCCUGUGGUGAAUAAGAGUGAUGAAAGUGGACACCAUCGUAUUAUUGAAUUGAAGGGAUUCAAACCUCUUCUGUGAUAAUCAUAGAACUGUAGCAUCAGAAGGCAAUUCCCUAAGUGUGGUCUGCCCACAUCCCUGGUGGUAAGCCAAAUGAUCGUAAGUGGUAGAGCGGCAAUUACUUUUAAAAAAUUUGACAGUCAUAUAUCUAUUUCAAUGUAUAGCAAAUAUAGAAUUGGAACAUCAAAGUCUGUGUACAAAUUUCGCUUCUUAUAAGGACACCAGUGAUACUGAAUUUGGGUCCAUCCUAAUGACCUCAUUGUACUGUAAUUAUCUUUUUGAAGAUUCUGUCUCCAAAUACAGACACAUUCUGAGGCACCAGAGGUUACGACUUCCAACAUACGAACUUUGGAUGAAAACGAUUCAGCCCGAAGCACCUGGUCUCCAUCCCCAUCCCUAGGAAUCCUUUUCUCUGUUUCCUAGUAACUCUGUGCCUCAGUGUCUUCAUCUGUGAAAUGGCAUCGAUAGAAAUAUUUUAAGGAAUACAUGAGUUGAGCUCACGAAGCAGUACCUGACACAGAGUAAACGUUCAGUAGGUAUUAGCUAUUAUGGUGGCAAUCAUUUCAACUUUCUGACAAGUGCCCUUGAAAUUUCCUUUUCGUCUCCC
Molecule: long non-coding RNA, 790 nt
Filed under: Homo sapiens (human)
Lineage: Eukaryota; Metazoa; Chordata; Mammalia; Primates; Hominidae
Description: non-protein coding lnc-CD38-3:3
Source: RNAcentral